AUGCGGUAUGACGGUACCCUUUCGAAUAAGAGGUUGCUAACUCUGUGCCAGCAGCAGCGGUAAUACAGAGACCUCGAGCGUUAUCCGGAUUUACUGGGCGUAAAGCGUCUGUAGGGGGUUUGUUAAGUUCCAAGUAAAAUCUUAAGGCUCAACUUUAAGUUCGCUUGGAAAACUAAUAAACUGGAGUCCAGCAGAGGUGCAUGGAACUUGCGGUGUAGGAGUGAAAUCCGUUGAUAUCGCAAGGAACACCAAAGGCGAAGGCAUUGCACUGGGCUGGUACUGACCCUGAGAGACGAAAGCGUGGGGAGCAAAACGGAUUAGAUACCCGUGUAGUCCACGCCGUAAACGAUGGAUACUAGAUGUUCGGGGAUUCGACCCCCUGGGUGUCACAGCUAACGCGUUAAGUAUCCCGCCUGGGAAGUACGGCCGCAAGGCUAAAACUCAAAGGAAUAGACGGGGAUCCGCACAAGCGGUGGAGCGUCUGGUUUAAUUUGAUAGUAAGCAAUGGACCUCACCAAGGUUUGACAUCCUAUGACAACCCUGGAAACAGGGCUUCCUUCGGGCAUAGUGACAGGUGCUGCAUGGUCGUCGUCAGUUCGUGCCGUGAGGUGUUCCGUUAAGUCGGGAAACGAACGAAACCCUCGUCGCAUGUUACAAAUUUCAAGCGAAGACGGCCCGGUUCAACCGGGAGGAAGGCGGGGAUGACGUCAGAUCAGCAUGGCCCUUAUACAUUGGGCUACACAGGCGCUACAAUGGCCGGUACAAAGGGUUGCAAAACCGCGAGGUGAAGCUAGUCCCAUAAAGCCGGUCCAAGUUCGGAUUGGAGGCUGCAACUCGCCUCCAUGAAGUUGGAAUCGCUAGUAAUCGUGGAUCAGCCAUACCACGGUGAAUACGUUCCCGGAUCUUGUACUCACCGCCCGUCACACCAAGAGAGUUGGUAGCUCCUGAAGC
RNAcentral lists this ribosomal RNA (951 nucleotides) under uncultured organism. RNAcentral's name for it is "bacterial SSU rRNA". It matches the Rfam family "Bacterial small subunit ribosomal RNA", at positions 462 to 1427 of the family's 1533-position model. The record is from RNAcentral.